RNAcentral lists this ribosomal RNA (516 nucleotides) under uncultured bacterium. Its description in RNAcentral is "partial 16S ribosomal RNA". It matches the Rfam family "Bacterial small subunit ribosomal RNA", at positions 899 to 1397 of the family's 1533-position model. The record is from RNAcentral.
ACUCAAAUGAAUAGACGGGGGCUCACACAAGCGGUGGAGCAUGUGGCUUAAUUCGAGGCUACGCGAAGAACCUUAUCCCGGACUUGACAUGUGCGAAAGCGCCAGCAGGUAGGACCCGGAAACGGGGACGAACGGUAUCCAAUCCGGAAGCUGGCACAGGUGCUGCAUGGCUGUCGUCAGCUCGUGUCGUGAGAUGUCGGGUUAAGUCCCAUAACGAGCGAAACCCUUACCCCUUGUUGCAACCCUCACGGGGCACUCGAGGGGGACUGCCGGUGUCAAACCGGAGGAAGGUGGGGAUGACGUCAAGUCCUCAUGGCCUUUAUGUCCGGGGCUGCACACGUGCUACAAGGGCGUGAACAGAGGGACGCGACGGCGCGAGCCGGAGCCAACCCCGGAAAGCACGCCCCAGUUCGGAUCGCGGGCUGCAACCCGCCCGCGUGAAGCCGGAAUCGCUAGUAAUCGCGGGUCAGCAACACCGCGGUGAAUGUGUUCCUGAGCCUUGCACACACCGCCCGU